This 379-nucleotide ribosomal RNA is filed under the name uncultured bacterium. RNAcentral describes it as "bacterial SSU rRNA". It matches the Rfam family "Bacterial small subunit ribosomal RNA", at positions 521 to 896 of the family's 1533-position model. The record is from RNAcentral.
UAAUACGUAGGGACCAAGCGUUGUUCGGAUUUACUGGGCGUAAAGGGCGCGUAGGCGGCAAUUCAAGUCAUCUGUGAAAUCUCCGGGCUUAACCCGGAACGGUCAGAUGAUACUGCUUUGCUAGAGUGCGGAAGGGGCAAUCGGAAUUCUCGGUGUAGCGGUGAAAUGCGUAGAUAUCGAGAGGAACACCUGAGGUGAAGACGGGUUGCUGGGCCGACACUGACGCUGAGUGCGCGAAAGCCAGGGGAGCAAACGGGAUUAGAUACCCCGGUAGUCCUGGCCCUAAACGAUGAAUACUUGGUGUCUGGAGUUAUUAGUGCUCCGGGUGCCGUCGCUAACGUUUUUAGUAUUCCGCCUGGGGAGUACGCUCGCAAGAGUG